GCUGGAAUCGCUAGUAAUCGCGGAUCAGAAUGCCGCGGUGAAUACGUUCCCGGGUCUUGUACACACCGCCCGUCACACCAUGGGAGUCGGAAAUGCCCGAAGUCUGUGACCCAACCUCAGGGAGGGAGCAGCCGAAGGCAGGUCGGAUGACUGGGGUGAAGUCGUAACAAGGUAAC
This 176-nucleotide ribosomal RNA is filed under the name uncultured bacterium. RNAcentral describes it as "partial 16S ribosomal RNA". It matches the Rfam family "Bacterial small subunit ribosomal RNA", at positions 1325 to 1500 of the family's 1533-position model. The record is from RNAcentral.